This 301-nucleotide ribosomal RNA is filed under the name uncultured bacterium. RNAcentral's name for it is "partial 16S ribosomal RNA". It matches the Rfam family "Bacterial small subunit ribosomal RNA", at positions 509 to 807 of the family's 1533-position model. The record is from RNAcentral.
CAGCAGCCACGGUAAUACGAAGGGUGCAAGCGUUAAUCGGAAUUACUGGGCGUAAAGCGUGCGUAGGCGGUGGGUUAAGUCUGCUGUGAAAUCCCCGGGCUCAACCUGGGAAUGGCAGUGGAUACUGGCUCGCUAGAGUGUGUCAGAGGAUGGUGGAAUUCCCGGUGUAGCGGUGAAAUGCGCAGAGAUCGGGAGGAACAUCAGUGGCGAAGGCGGCCAUCUGGGACAACACUGACGCUGAGGCACGAAAGCGUGGGGAGCAAACAGGAUUAGAUACCCGCGUAGUCCCUGUCUCUUAUAC